This 608-nucleotide ribosomal RNA is filed under the name Arthrobacter sp. MJB5. RNAcentral's name for it is "bacterial SSU rRNA". It matches the Rfam family "Bacterial small subunit ribosomal RNA", at positions 163 to 784 of the family's 1533-position model. Lineage: Bacteria; Bacillati; Actinomycetota; Actinomycetes; Micrococcales; Micrococcaceae. The record is from RNAcentral.
CUAAUACCGGAUAUGACCUUCCGCCGCAUGGCGGGGGGUGGAAAGCUUUUUGCGGUUUUGGAUGGACUCGCGGCCUAUCAGCUUGUUGGUGAGGUAAUGGCUCACCAAGGCGACGACGGGUAGCCGGCCUGAGAGGGUGACCGGCCACACUGGGACUGAGACACGGCCCAGACUCCUACGGGAGGCAGCAGUGGGGAAUAUUGCACAAUGGGCGCAAGCCUGAUGCAGCGACGCCGCGUGAGGGAUGACGGCCUUCGGGUUGUAAACCUCUUUCAGUAGGGAAGAAGCGCAAGUGACGGUACCUGCAGAAGAAGCGCCGGCUAACUACGUGCCAGCAGCCGCGGUAAUACGUAGGGCGCAAGCGUUAUCCGGAAUUAUUGGGCGUAAAGAGCUCGUAGGCGGUUUGUCGCGUCUGCCGUGAAAGUCCGGGGCUCAACCCCGGAUCUGCGGUGGGUACGGGCAGACUAGAGUGAUGUAGGGGAGACUGGAAUUCCUGGUGUAGCGGUGAAAUGCGCAGAUAUCAGGAGGAACACCGAUGGCGAAGGCAGGUCUCUGGGCAUUAACUGACGCUGAGGAGCGAAAGCAUGGGGAGCGAACAGGAUUAGAUA